Molecule: ribosomal RNA, 470 nt
Filed under: uncultured Pseudomonadota bacterium
Lineage: Bacteria; Pseudomonadati; Pseudomonadota
Description: bacterial SSU rRNA
Rfam family: Bacterial small subunit ribosomal RNA
Source: RNAcentral
AGAGUUUGAUCAUGGCUCAGAACGAACGCUGGCGGCAGGCUUAACACAUGCAAGUCGAACGGUUGUAGCAAUACAGCAGUGGCAGACGGGUGAGUAACACAUGGGAACCUUCCUAGGGGUACGGAACAACUCAGGGAAACUUGAGCUAAUACCGUAUACGUCCGUGAGGAGAAAGAUUUAUCGCCCUUAGACGGGCCCGCGUAGGAUUAGGUAGUUGGUGGGGUAAUGGCCUACCAAGCCUACGAUCCUUAGCUGAUCUGAGAGGAUGAUCAGCCACACUGGGACUGAGACACGGCCCAGACUCCUACGGGAGGCAGCAGUGGGGAAUCUUGGACAAUGGGCGCAAGCCUGAUCCAGCCAUGCCGCGUGAGUGAAGAAGGCCUUCGGGUUGUAAAGCUCUUUUACCAGGGACGAUAAUGACGGUACCUGGAGAAUAAGCCCCGGCAAACUUCGUGCCAGCAGCCGCGGUA